CAGAGUGAUGAAAACCUGGAGUUGUUGCAGCUUGAGCUGAAAAUGAAGAUGUGAAAGGCCUGCCAGUCGAGUCUGGAA
Elaeis guineensis (African oil palm) is the source of this 78-nucleotide small nucleolar RNA. Lineage: Eukaryota; Viridiplantae; Streptophyta; Magnoliopsida; Arecales; Arecaceae. The record is from RefSeq and is a predicted model, not a curated record.